Molecule: ribosomal RNA, 253 nt
Filed under: uncultured bacterium
Lineage: Bacteria
Description: partial 16S ribosomal RNA
Rfam family: Bacterial small subunit ribosomal RNA
Source: RNAcentral
UACGUAGGCAGCGAGCGUUGUUCGGAGUUACUGGGCGUAAAGGGUGUGUAGGCGGUUCUUUAAGUUUGGUGUGAAAUCUCCCGGCUCAACCGGGAGGGUGCGCCGAAUACUGAGGGACUAGAGUACGGGAGAGGAAAGUGGAAUUCCUGGUGUAGCGGUGAAAUGCGUAGAUAUCAGGAGGAACACCGGUGGUGUAGACGGCUUUCUGGACCGUAACUGACGCUGAAACGCGAAAGCGUGGGGAGCAAACAGG